This 253-nucleotide ribosomal RNA is filed under the name uncultured bacterium. RNAcentral describes it as "partial 16S ribosomal RNA". It matches the Rfam family "Bacterial small subunit ribosomal RNA", at positions 524 to 776 of the family's 1533-position model. The record is from RNAcentral.
UACGUAGGGGGCAAGCGUUGUCCGGAAUCAUUGGGCGUAAAGAGCGUGUAGGCGGCCCGGUAAGUCCGCUGUGAAAGUCGAGGGCUCAACCCUCGAAUGCCGGCGGAUACUGUCGGGCUAGAGUCCGGAAGAGGCGAGUGGAAUUCCUGGUGUAGCGGUGAAAUGCGCAGAUAUCAGGAGGAACACCGAUGGCGAAGGCAGGUCACUGGGCCGCAACUGACGCUGAGGAGCGAAAGCGUGGGGAGCGAACAGG